UCAAAAUAUUUUAAUUUCCUCCAUGAUUCGUAAAUCCCUCCGUACAUCAUGGUCAUCUGGCCAUCGAACGGUGUGGUAUCGUGAUAUAAAUAUAAAAUUAUUACCAAGGUAGAUUUUUUUUUGAUAAUAAUUGUUUAAUUAUUAUUAUUAUUAGACGUGCAUGGUUUUCUUAGAAUGUGUUGUAUUAUUUUCGUAUAGAUAUCAUUUAAAAUAUCAAGAAAAUAAUUUUAAAAAUAAUAAUUAUUAAUUAUAAUUACCUAUUACAUAAUAUAGACAUAUAGUAUUAACAAUUUGAAGAGUUUGUAUGUUAGAACUCGUUUAUCUCGGAAAAUAUAUAUGAUUGACAGUGAAUUCAAUAAAAGGUCUGCCAGAUAAGCCAUUCCCUUCGAUAUUUGCCAGGCAAAUUUCAAAAUAUCUCUUGGACUGAUCGGAUAAAGUGGAAACAUCAUAGAUAUCGGACUUUCAUUUUGUUGGACAUUUCCUGCAGCAUUGGAAAUAAGGCCACUUGUAUUGUUGUCUAGGAUUCUACUCUUUCGGAGGUCUACUACACUACUCCAACUGCGCGUCACACGAGUUUCACGUGUCGACAAGUUUUUCUUAAAACAGUCAUGCUCAGUUUUUCGAUUGUCUCCCGCAACCCCUCCACAGUGGACGACUUAUUUUAUACUUUUUCUUUUUAUGUCUAAAAU
Molecule: long non-coding RNA, 689 nt
Organism: Aphis gossypii (cotton aphid)
Lineage: Eukaryota; Metazoa; Arthropoda; Insecta; Hemiptera; Aphididae
Exons: 3
Source: RefSeq, a predicted model, not a curated record